AAUUUCUCCCCAGGGUGUGUAGUGGCUUGAAGGUCUUUUUAAAUUGUUGUUGUUAUGUUUUUAUUUUAUUUUACUUUAUUUUUAAAUAGAGAUGAGGUCUUGCUAUGUUGUCCAGGCUGGUCUCAAACUCCUGGGCUCAAGCAGCUCGCCUGUCUUGGCCUCCCAAAGUGCAGGGAUUGCAGAUGUGAGCCACCAUGCUUGGCCCUUGCUAUAUUUUAAAUAGUUAAAAAUACUGUUUUUGUUUUUUUGUUUUUCCUUGCUGAAUACUUGGGAAAAUUGGUUUGUGUCUGUGGCAAAGGAAUUCAACAAUACUUUCAUUUUCAGGUCAGACUAUUUUAAGAAAAUAGAAGACUAUCAUUUACAGCUGGUAUGGCCCUGUGGUGGUGUGGACCCAGACUUCAAACACAGAUGAAGAUCGAAAACUGAUAUCCCGCAUCUGAUAUCAAAAGUUGAAGAAAGUGAACAAAAACAGCAGAGGAAAGUUCAUAAAAGCAGGAUGAGUUGCAGAAAAACUCCUCAGACACCGGAUUAAAGAAGGAAGAGGUUUUUUAUUUGUCCGGGAGCGUCGGCAGACUCGCGUCUUAAGAGCCGAGCUCCCCGAAAAAGAAAUUCCUAGCCCUUUUAAGGCCUUACAACUCUAAGGAGUCUACGUGAAAGAGUCAUAAUAGAUCAAACAAAUUAAGAAUUCAGAGCCCAAUCCUAACUUCAAGCCAAGAAGUAAAAAAAGGAAGAAAAAAUCAAGACGCUCAGAACAGAACUCCAGCAAUAUUGAACCCAGAAAGAAAAUUGGCCAGGCGCGGUGGCUCACGCCUGUAAUCCUAGCACUUUGGAAGGUCGAGGUGGGCAGAUCACCUGAAGUCGGGAGUUCGAGACCAGCCUGACCAACAUGGAGAAACCCCGUCUCUACUCAAAAUACAAAAAAUUAGCCGGGC
This 932-nucleotide long non-coding RNA is filed under the name Homo sapiens (human). RNAcentral's name for it is "HSALNT0408489". Lineage: Eukaryota; Metazoa; Chordata; Mammalia; Primates; Hominidae. The record is from RNAcentral.